RNAcentral lists this ribosomal RNA (428 nucleotides) under Halobates darwini. RNAcentral describes it as "LSU rRNA". It matches the Rfam family "Eukaryotic large subunit ribosomal RNA", at positions 741 to 1161 of the family's 3401-position model. The record is from RNAcentral. Lineage: Eukaryota; Metazoa; Arthropoda; Insecta; Hemiptera; Gerridae.
GGGCGGCGCCCCGCACUCCCGGGGCGUCUCCAGCUCACUGCGAGCGGAGGCGCACCUAGAGCGUACACGUUGGGACCCGAAAGAUGGUGAACUAUGCCUGGCCAGGACGAAGCCAGGGGAAACCCUGGUGGAGGUCCGUAGCGAUUCUGACGUGCAAAUCGAUCGUUAGAGCUGGGUAUAGGGGCGAAAGACCAAUCGAACCAUCUAGUAGCUGGUUCCCUCCGAAGUUUCCCUCAGGAUAGCUGGCACUCUCGUGUGACGAGUCUCAUCUGGUAAAGCGAAUGAUUAGAGGCCUUGGGGUCGAAACGACCUCAACCUAUUCUCAAACUUUAAAUAGAUGAGAACCCUGGCUUGCUUAAGGGUGAAGCCAGGGCUCGGAUCCGAGGGCCAAGUGGGCCAAUUUUGGUAAGCAGAACUGGCGCCUGUGG